AAACAGUUUUCAGCCACUUUGGAGGCCAUAGUUGCAAGGCCCAGAGGGGAGACCUCUCACCUUUCGCCAGACUCCGAUUACGGCGGAGUUAGCGGAGGCGCGGCCACCAGGUACGACACAUGGGGGCGCUGACGUAGCGUGUACGGAGGCGGCCGUAGAGGGGUGUGCGUGGCUGGGGCAGCAACGGCCGCUGAAGCAGACUAGGGUUUCUUUGUUUGCACUUUAGCCGGGCUAGGCUAAUUGGAUUUAGGUUAGGCUUGGGCUAGGGGUUUUGGGCUAAUUGGGGUUAAAUUUGGUUGGGCCACUUGGGCCUAUGUAUUUGGACUGUUUAUUAUUUUUGGGUUGGUUGGGUUUGGGUCACAUGGGCCCCAGGCAAAAAUGGGUCACUACAUCAUGGUUAAAGCAUUGAAUUAAUUAUCGACGCUAAAUCUAGUGACUCAUAAUAAAAAAAAAUAAUUAAAAGGCAAAUUUUAUUUAAAAGAAAAUAAAAAUAAAACAAGAAUAAAUGUUUGGUA
Molecule: long non-coding RNA, 515 nt
Organism: Gossypium raimondii (Peruvian cotton)
Lineage: Eukaryota; Viridiplantae; Streptophyta; Magnoliopsida; Malvales; Malvaceae
Exons: 2
Source: RefSeq, a predicted model, not a curated record